RNAcentral lists this long non-coding RNA (2845 nucleotides) under Trifolium pratense (red clover). Its description in RNAcentral is "long non-coding RNA (TPRA_LNC014343)". The record is from RNAcentral. Lineage: Eukaryota; Viridiplantae; Streptophyta; Magnoliopsida; Fabales; Fabaceae.
CCAAUACUUCUCAUUUAAUAAAUAUAAGGAUAAAUACACUUUGGGGGGACUAUGCCAAAACCCAAUUAUACAAUUCAAAAGAUCAACAAGAUAUACCUCUUUAAAAAUCUUAUUAGUAAAAUACAAAAGAGAUAAAACUCAAUGAAGAAAAAAAAAAGUGCAUAAUAAAAUAACAAAAGUAAAAAAGAAAGCCAAUUUUAAAGUCACUAAAACAACAUUAAUAUCGAAAGAGAUAUCAACAGAAAAGUAUUGAUAUUUGAAAUUGGCUAUGCCAUCAAGACAUUUAAUUUAGGGACCACUGAACUGAAUUACCAACCAACAAAACUUUGAAAAUCAUUUUGAACCACAAAUAUAAAACCCACACAUAAAUGCUAUCGUUAUGGCAUUUUAGUCAAUACCAUAGUAAUAUUGGUGAUCUUAGUUCUAUCUUUGGGCACAUUAUCAGUUACAUAUUUUUGAGACAAUUCACUCUUAUGAAAAAUUUAAUCAAAUGAAAUAUUUAUAAGUAGAGUUACAUAGUAAUAUAAAAACAUGUUUUGUGCAAUUCAUUCUUAUGAAAAAUUUUAAUUAAAUGAAAUAUUUAUAAGUGGAGUUUUUUUUUAUUAAAUAAGUGGAGUUUUCUUAGAGGUGCUACAUCAUCACAAUAUUUGCUUGUGAGCAACUCAACUUUCCUUUUACUAGUAAAAGAUAUAUAUAUGUUAUAUUAAUUGUGGUAAACAUUUUUUUUGGUUACUAUUUAUGGUAAACAUAUACAAACACAAAAUAGUUUCGGGUUAUUUUUUAGCUAUAUAAUGAGCCCUAAAAUAAUUAAUGAUAUUGCACAAAUAGACACAGACUUGAAGUAAGACCAUAUACAAUGGUUACCAACAUUCAACACCACUUUUUCACUUCCCAACACUCCAUGUCAUUUUUUUUUUCUUCCACCUAAUCAUUCAACACACAUUAAACUUUUAUCCUCUCCAAUAGUUUUUUCAUUCAACACUCUACUCCACCACUUUCUCUACCCCACCACUUUUUAUUUCAUAUUCUUAUUUAAAUUUAUGUUUUUGUUUUUAUGAUUACAUAAAAUUACAAUUAUCGAUUAAAAUUAAAUUAAAAUAAUAAGCACUUAACAAUUGAAACACUCCAAAUGCACGUUCGAUGUCCUUCCGAUAUCCCUCCUAAUAUUUUGCAAAUAACUUAUCGGGUUCACUUUGAGGAAGUCUAAUCGAUUUGACGAAAGUUGGAUAAGAAGGGUAGAUAUAAUCAGCUAGAUAGUAUGUCAUAUUAUAGGAACGUUGAUUCACAAAGAAAUUAACGGUGGGAGCAUUUCCCUGUUCCACAUCAUCAAACACUGAUGACUGGUCUAGAAAGUUUAUAUCGUUCAACUGCUUCAAAAGAGGCAUCCAAAAAAGGCAUGUCAGAUCCAUAAAUCAUGAGAUACAACUGCUUCAAGAAUAACUGUGAUGGUUCCCUAAAAAAAAGACUAAUACUUCAAGAUUAACACUAAUAGGAAGAUAAUAAUAAUAAGAUUAUUAUAGUGAAAAAAUCCAUUUUUUUUCUAUGUCCAAAUCAAAUGAACCAAGUCUCUAUUUCAGUGACUACACACCUCCGGUUUUAUAUUUCCAGCCAUCCGCAACAAGUUGUGUUGACUAAACUGGAAUGGACAGUUGUUCAUAUUUCUCAAUUUUGUUUGUAAAGGCCGUGUGGUUGUUCUAAGGCUUUGCUGCUGAAUGGGUGCUACUCAUUUGUUUAAUAGGGAGGAUGUUCUUUGUUGCUGCUCCUCCAUUGUAUCAGGUGGAAUUGGUUGUGUUUAUUUGCACCCCUUAUGCAUUUUUCAAUUUUAAUAAAACUUUUGCUUUUUUAAAAAAUAAAUAAAUUUAGCAAUUGUUAUAAUCUCCACAAAAAUGAUUAUAUUAUUUUAUUUUUAAGAAAAAAUAAAAUCAUAGAGCAAAGACAUCACAUGGUUAAUAUAUUGACACCCCACAACCAUCACAAUCAAUUUAAAUACCUAAUACUUAAUAUUUUAUAAAUAUAAGAAUAAAUACACUUUGGGGGACUAUGCCAAAACCCAAUUAUACAAUUCAAAAGAUCAACAACAUUUAACUCUUUAAAAAUCUUAUUAGUAAAAUACCAAAGAGAUAAAACACAAUGAAGAAAAAAAAAGUGCAUAAUAAAAUAACAAAAGUAAAAAGAAAGCCAAUCUUAAAGUCCACUAAAACAACCAUUAAUAUCGAAAGAGAUAUCAACAGAAGAGUAUUGAUAUUUAAAAUUGGCUAUACCAUCAAGACAUUUUUUUUAUAAGCAUAGAAUGAAUCAUGAGUACAAGGGGUACCUAACCCUUACAAUUCUAAAAGAAGCCAUUAGAUGCUAAAAAUGCAAGAUAAUGGAUCUUUACACUAAAUCUGAAAAUACAAGAGAAGACUUAGAAAUUAUUCUACCAACAAACCAAAACCAGGAGAUAUAAAUAAUUUGAUCCACUAAUGAUUGCAAGUUAAUGACAUCUCCUCUAAACAUUAUAUUAUUACGGGCUCGCCACAAGCUCCAUGUAGUUGCCAACCAAAUUACAUGUCGAGCUUUUGCAUAAGACUUAUUCUUCACCAAAGCACCAAAGGAGACUUAUUACCAUCAAGACAUUUAAUUUAGAGACCACUGAAUUACCAACCAACAAAACUUUGAAAAUCAUUUUGAACCACAAAUAUAAAACCCACACACAAAUGCUAUCGUUAUGGCCUUUUAGUCAAUAUCAUAGUAAUAUUGGUGAUCUUAGUUCUAUCUUUGGGCACAUUAUCAGUUACAUAUUUUUGAAAGCGGUUAAAAGCCUCUUUAGUGACACUUUCACCAAAAUGACCAACUAGCAAAGGUU